This 446-nucleotide ribosomal RNA is filed under the name uncultured bacterium. Its description in RNAcentral is "bacterial SSU rRNA". It matches the Rfam family "Bacterial small subunit ribosomal RNA", at positions 355 to 825 of the family's 1533-position model. The record is from RNAcentral.
UGGGGAAUUUUGGACAAUGGGCGCAAGCCUGAUCCAGCCAUGCCGCGUGAGUGAAGAAGGCCUUCGGGUUGUAAAGCUCUUUUACCAGGGACGAUAAUGACGGUACCUGGAGAAUAAGCCCCGGCAAACUUCGUGCCAGCAGCCGCGGUAAUACGAAGGGGGCUAGCGUUGUUCGGAAUUACUGGGCGUAAAGCGCACGUAGGCGGAUUGUUAAGUCAGAGGUGAAAUCCCGGAGCUCAACUUCGGAACUGCCUUUGAUACUGGCAAUCUAGAGUCCGGAAGAGGUUAGUGGAAUUCCCAGUGUAGAGGUGAAAUUCGUAGAUAUUGGGAAGAACACCAGUGGCGAAGGCGGCUAACUGGUCCGGUACUGACGCUGAGGUGCGAAAGCGUGGGGAGCAAACAGGAUUAGAUACCCCGUAGUCCCUGAGCGGGCUGGCAAGGCGCAU